Molecule: ribosomal RNA, 423 nt
Filed under: uncultured Dysgonomonas sp.
Lineage: Bacteria; Pseudomonadati; Bacteroidota; Bacteroidia; Bacteroidales; Dysgonomonadaceae
Description: bacterial SSU rRNA
Rfam family: Bacterial small subunit ribosomal RNA
Source: RNAcentral
UGAGGAAUAUUGGUCAAUGGGCGAGAGCCUGAACCAGCCAAGUCGCGUGAAGGAUGACUGCCUUAUGGGUUGUAAACUUCUUUUAUACAGGAAUAAAAAGAGAUACGUGUAUUUCAUUGCAUGUACUGUAUGAAUAAGCAUCGGCUAACUCCGUGCCAGCAGCCGCGGUAAUACGGAGGAUGCGAGCGUUAUCCGGAUUUAUUGGGUUUAAAGGGUGCGCAGGCGGGAUUUUAAGUCAGCGGUGAAAUCUAGUGACUCAACCACUAACUUGCCAUUGAAACUGAAGUUCUUGAGUAUAGACGAGGUAGGCGGAAUUCGUUGUGUAGCGGUGAAAUGCAUUAGAUAUAACGAGGAACCCCGAUUGCGUAGGCAGCUUACCAGACUAUACUGACGCUCAUGCACGAAAAGUGUGGGUAUCAAACA